UAGCCACCCCCCCCCCCCAAAUUUCAGAUUUCCCCCCCUCUCUCUCGGUCUCUGCUUUGCCAUGCAACCUCCUUCACCUCCCUCCCCCAGUUUCCUCUCUCUCUCUCUCUCUCUCUCUCUCUCUCUCUCUCUCUCUCUCUCUCUCUCUCUCUCUCUCUCUCUCUCUCUCUCUCUCUCUCUCUCUCUCUCUCUCUCUCUCUUCAAGCGCUAGCGCUUUUGUCUUGUCUGGAACCCAAAUUUGAUCGCGCAGCUCACCAGUCAUCUCCUUUUGAUCGCGCGGCUUGCCGAACGAUGGAAGUGCUUUCGGAUCCAAGGUUUUCGUUUGGGAUUAGGGUUUCACCAGUCGGCACUUCCUCUCUGCUUUCAGCUCUCGAUCCCUUUGCUAUAGUCGAGGAAACUGCCACUCAGCCACCAUGGGGUGGAUAGCAGAUCAAAAUGAGACUAUUUUCAUGAUGAUAGCAAAUCAAAGUCCCUUAUGCAGUGAUGUAGUAAAUUAGUUCAUGUUUGUUGUUGUGCAUUGGAGUUUAAUUAAAACAAUGUAUGUGUUUUGUAUUGUUCUAAGCAAAUUUGUUCAGACAAUGUAAUAUGUAGUGGGUUUUUUUUUUUUUUACAUGCAUUUGGUUAU
This is a long non-coding RNA of Carya illinoinensis, 625 nucleotides long. RefSeq lists it as uncharacterized. Lineage: Eukaryota; Viridiplantae; Streptophyta; Magnoliopsida; Fagales; Juglandaceae. The record is from RefSeq and is a predicted model, not a curated record. The transcript is spliced from 3 exons.